RNAcentral lists this ribosomal RNA (253 nucleotides) under uncultured bacterium. RNAcentral describes it as "partial 16S ribosomal RNA". It matches the Rfam family "Bacterial small subunit ribosomal RNA", at positions 524 to 776 of the family's 1533-position model. The record is from RNAcentral.
UACGGAGGGUGCAAGCGUUAAUCGGAAUUACUGGGCGUAAAGCGCACGUAGGUGGUUUGUUAAGCCAGCUGUGAAAUCCCCGGGCUCAACCUGGGCACUGCAGUUGGAACUGGCAAGCUAGAGUAGGGUAGAGGGGUGUGGAAUUCCAGGUGUAGCGGUGAAAUGCGUAGAUAUCUGGAGGAACAUCAGUGGCGAAGGCGACUCCCUGGACUCAUACUGACACUGAGGUGCGAAAGCGUGGGGAGCAAACAGG